UACGUAGGUGGCGAGCGUUGUCCGGAUUUACUGGGCGUAAAGCGCGCGCAGGCGGUCGUUCAAGUCGAAUGUGAAAGCCCCCGGCUCAACUGGGGAGGGUCAUUCGAUACUGAUCGACUUGAAGGCAGGAGAGGGAAGCGGAAUUCCCGGUGUAGUGGUGAAAUGCGUAGAUAUCGGGAGGAACACCAGUGGCGAAGGCGGCUUCCUGGCCUGUUCUUGACGCUGAGGCGCGAAAGCUAGGGGAGCAAACGGG
This 253-nucleotide ribosomal RNA is filed under the name uncultured bacterium. RNAcentral's name for it is "partial 16S ribosomal RNA". It matches the Rfam family "Bacterial small subunit ribosomal RNA", at positions 524 to 776 of the family's 1533-position model. The record is from RNAcentral.